RNAcentral lists this ribosomal RNA (429 nucleotides) under bacterium. RNAcentral's name for it is "partial 16S ribosomal RNA". It matches the Rfam family "Bacterial small subunit ribosomal RNA", at positions 355 to 776 of the family's 1533-position model. The record is from RNAcentral.
UGGGGAAUCCUCCGCAAUGGACGAACGUCUGACGGAGCAACGCCGCGUGAGUGAUGACGGCCUUCGGGUUGUAAAGUUCUGUUAAUCGGGACGAAUGGUUCUUGUGCCAAUAGUGCGAGGAUUUGACGGUACCGGACUAGACAGCCACGGCUAACUACGUGCCAGCAGCCGCGGUAAUACGUAGGUGGCAAGCGUUGUACGGAAUUAUUGGGCGUAAAGCGCGCGCAGGCGGAUUGGUCUGUCUGUCUUAAACGUUCGGGGCUUAACCACGUGAUUGGAUGGAAACUGCCAAUCUAGAGUAUCGGAGAGGAAAGUGGAAUUCCUAGUGGAGCGGUGAAAUGCGUAGAUAUUAGGAAGAGCACCAGUGGCGAAGGCGACUUUCUGGACGAAAACUGACGCUGAGGCGCGAAAGCCAGGAGAGCGAACGGG